Molecule: ribosomal RNA, 931 nt
Filed under: Gloeochaete wittrockiana
Lineage: Eukaryota; Glaucocystophyceae; Gloeochaetales; Gloeochaetaceae
Description: partial Bacterial large subunit ribosomal RNA
Rfam family: Bacterial large subunit ribosomal RNA
Source: RNAcentral
GAAGUGAAUAAAAUAGCUUUGGUGAAGCGAACCCGGGGAACUGAAACAUCUCAGUACCCGGAGGAAAGGACAUCAACCGAGACUCCCGUAGUAGUGGCGAGCGAACCGGGACCAGGCCAGUGCUCUUGUGAAAUAAAGACGAACGAUCUGGAAAGGUCGGCCAUAGUGGGUGAAAGCCCCGUAGUCAUCAAACAGCAAGAGACUCGAGUAGGGCGGGACACGUGAAAUCCUGUCUGAACAUGGGGGGACCACCCUCCAAGCCUAAGUACUCCUCUACGACCGAUAGUGAACAAGUACCGUGAGGGAAAGGUGAAAAGCACCCCGACAAGGGGAGUGAAACAGAUCCUGAAAUCGGAAGCCUACAAGCAGUCGGAGCCGCCAAGCGCGGUGACGGCGUACCUUUUGUAUAAUGGGUCAGCGACUUCAUGUGUCGAGCAAGCUUAAGCCGUUAGGUGUAGGCGCAGCGAAAGCGAGUCUGAAUAGGGCGCCAGAGUUUGAUGUAUUAGACCCGAAACCCGGCGAUCUAGGCAUGACCAGGAUGAAGGUGCGGUAACACGCACUGGAGGUCCGAACCGAUUAACGUUGAAAAGUUACCGGAUGAGUUGUGUUUAGGGGUGAAAGGCCAAUCAAGCCGGGAAAUAGCUGGUUCUCCGCGAAAACUAUUGAGGUAGUGCCUCGAGCGAAUACCGUAGGGGGUAGAGCACUGGAUGGAUGCGGGGGUCGCGAGACCUACCAACUCUAACCAAACUCCGAAUACCCAAGAGUACUAUCCGGCAGACAGACGGUGGGUGCUAACGUCCAUCGUCAAAAGGGAAACAACCCUGACCGCCAGCUAAGGCCCCCAAAUCAUGGCUAAGUGUGAAAGGAUGUGGGGAUCCCAAAACAACCAGGAUGUUGGCUUAGAAGCAGCCAUCAUUUAAAGAAAGCGUAA